This is a long non-coding RNA of Bufo bufo (common toad), 914 nucleotides long. RefSeq lists it as uncharacterized. The transcript has 3 exons. The record is from RefSeq and is a predicted model, not a curated record. NCBI's taxonomy places the organism in Eukaryota, Metazoa, Chordata, Amphibia, Anura, Bufonidae.
AAACACGUCUGCCCAUGAUGUUCUGGACCAAAUGGAGAAGAAAAAGAAAAUAAACAACUCAAAUCCAUGGAGACGUCAUCUGCCACUGAAAUACCCGAUUCCAGGCCUGGUGAGAAAGUACAAUUUCCAGACUUCAAGAACAUUGGAGCUAAAGAGAUUAUUUGAGAAAGCAGAAGGAGUACAUGAAGUCCAGCCCUCAGUCCUCUGUGACAUGACACAGCAGUACAGAACUGGCAGCAGGUGACAUGGAGUGAAACUCCUCUGGGCUGAGAUCUAAUCUGACGCUUCCCAACCCCGUGUCAGUCGUAACAGAAAUCCACAGAAAUAAACGUACAUUGCACAAUCACAGAUCUGCCAGAUGGUGGACGGAGAAGGGGAACAAUGGCAACCACAAGAGUCACCAGCCGCAAGUUUAUUUAACCCCAGCAAUGCCGGCAAGGUCCCCACUUUUCGGGUGGAUCAGGUGGACGACUAUAGUACAGCAGUCGGAAAUGUAAAAACUUUAGUUGAACUCCUAAUGAGUCAUUGCAUAAAAGACAGAGAUACAUAACUGAAGCCGUCAGAGCCGUAUGAAGGAGGACAUUGUGAGGCAGCACAGGAAGACGCGGCCAUGGCUUUUUCAGGGGAAUUCCCAGCGACGUCCAGGGCCAGGCUUCUUGUAAGCGGCAUCAUAUGACUAGGAGCCACUCCAAACACUUACUGUCACUGCAAUUAACUCUGUCAGGAACACAGCUCAGCCUGUAAUUACAGCUCACAUCUCACACACUGGGAACCAGCGAAAAGAGGCAGGAAACGAGAGCCCUGCGUGAACUGACUCAGCUCUUUUCUGCGCAGCAGAGCCACAGGAUGUGUGUGUAUGUAGGUGAAUACCAGUGGCACAUCCUCUACUCAGUGUCCACUUACUACAGGGUUAA